This 468-nucleotide ribosomal RNA is filed under the name uncultured bacterium. RNAcentral's name for it is "partial 16S ribosomal RNA". It matches the Rfam family "Bacterial small subunit ribosomal RNA", at positions 28 to 507 of the family's 1533-position model. The record is from RNAcentral.
GACGAACGCUGGCGGCGUGCUUAACACAUGCAAGUCGAACGGAAAGGCCCUGCUUUUUUGCGGUGCUCGAGUGGCGAACGGGUGAGUAACACGUGAGUAACCUGCCCUUGACUUUGGGAUAACUUCAGGAAACUGGGUCUAAUACCGGCUAGGAGCUCCUGCUGCAUGGUGGGGGUUGGAUAGUUUCGGCGGUUGGUGAUGGACUCGCGGCUUAUCAGCUUGUUGGUGUGGUAGUGGCUUACCAAGGCUUGGACGGGUAGCCGGGCUGAGAGGGUGACCGGCCAAAUUGGGCUUGAGCUACGACACAGACUACACCGGGAGGCAGGGGUGGGGAAUAGUGCACAAUGGGAGGAGGCCUAGUGUAGCCAAGCCGCGUGGGGGAUGAGGGGAUUGGGGUUGUAAACCGCUUUCGCCUGUGACGAAGCGUGAGUGACGGUAAUGGGUAAAGAAGCACCGGCUAACUACGUG